GCAUGUUAGUGACUUACACUAUAAAUGUCAUUUUAAAUGAGUCAAAUUCCAUGUACUAGAAAAAUAUAAAGUCCCAGACAGUGUCAAUAUUUCUGCCAUCUCUCUCCCCUGACUUACAACUAUUCACAUUCUUCUCAAUUCUUUUUCUACAAACAACACAGAAAAUGAAUAAAUUCAACAAAUUAUGUCUUCCUCAAAAUAUGUCAAGUCAGAAAUUCUUUGUAGUAAUAACUGCUGUAGUAAAUUGGAGAUGAAUCCCUUUAUCAGCUACCCAUUUGACAAGGUUGUACUUAUAUUUCACUGCUAUAUAUGAACAGAUAUAUUUGUUCAACAGGUUGUCAUUCAAAAGGUCCAUUAGUCUCAUCUCUUAUCAGUAACCCCUACGUUUAUAGUCAUUCUGCCCUUUCUGAAUAUUAGCCUGAAAGGCUCCCAGUACACAGGAAGCAGUUACUUCUUAUUCUC
RNAcentral lists this long non-coding RNA (462 nucleotides) under Bos taurus (domestic cattle). RNAcentral describes it as "long non-coding RNA NONBTAT001022". Lineage: Eukaryota; Metazoa; Chordata; Mammalia; Artiodactyla; Bovidae. The record is from RNAcentral.